UGGGCCUCAAACUUCUGAUCUCAGGUGAUCCACCCACCUCAGCCUCCCAAAGUGCUGGGAUUACAGGUAUGAGCCGCCUCGCCCGGCCUGGAGAGAUGUGCAUAGAGGAUUUCCACAAAGGGUUUUUGGAGGCAGUUCAUUGGCUGGGGAGAAAUCCUAAAUGAAGCCCUUUCUGGUGGGUUAGUGCUUCAGGGCCCUCCCAGCUGGGAGAUGUGAAGGCCGUCAGGGGCUGACUUCAGCUGCUGGUCCAGGUCUACGGGCAUCCUGUGGCCUGGCCGUCGGCGUGUGAAUGCAGGCCUCCCGCGGCCUCCCUUCCACUUAGAAAGCCUUCGCAUUGGUGACUUCGUUUUCUUUCACAUUUCCCCCUUUUGAUCGAGUUCUUCCUCCAGAAAGUCACAGAUCAGUUGGUGAAUGUGAUGUUGUCCCUUGUUGCCGGGAGGCACUUGUCCCAGGGAGUCAUGUCCCUCAUUGCGGACGUGACCUCAGUCAAGCUCUAGUGUCACCUGCUUCACCUUCGGGUCAGUUUUCAUUUCAGGGGAUUGUCUGAAUUCCAGCAGGGGGUAGAGGUUUCUUUAAAUGAGAAACCUGAAUCCAAGGGCCGACACCUUUUAGUUUGACAGCACAGGGAUUGGUAAGGAGUACCUGACGCGGACUCUUCACUGAGGUUGAAGGAAAUCUUUCUGUAAAUGUCUUUUCCAGUAGAGAAAAAGAUCAGGCUGAAGGUCGUGCUGUCUGGUGCCUUUAUCUCCUGGGAACACACCGUGUAAAGACUGUCUGACCAGGGUAUGACUUGUGUGAACCGCCUUCAUUAUUCCUUUACAGUAUUGAAGCAUGUCUCCUUUAAUACACGGACUGUUCAGAGCAGAAGGGACUCUGCGCAUUGACCCUGCCGUGAUCAUUUCAAAAGGUGACAACUUGCAGUUUCCGAAAGGACUGGGAUGGUAGGCACAAUGCCAGCGCUGUAAUGUGGACCAGACUUCACAGAUUGGUUUUACGACCUGGCCAGUGGAGUUCCUUGCCGCUGCGUGUGAAGAUGUGCCCGUCACGUAGGGAGAAUCUGCUCUAGUCGAGUGUGCGGCGUCUGAGGCAGUGGCACAUCAGGAAGGGAACGCUUCCACCCAGGAGGAGAACAUGCAAAUCAUCACGACGUAUUUAUAGUCUCGGGAGGCAGUGGCUGGAUGAAGUCCAUUCGCCAGACCUCAGAGGGCCUGCUGGGCAGGUCAGAACGGCCUGGGACUGUCUGAAGUGUCUUCGCUGGGUUGAAUUUUGGGCAAACAGCACAAGGCAGUUGUGCCUCUUUGGCCGUCCUUGAAAUGUUUCUCCCCCAGUACUGUUUUGUAAACGUGUAAGUUCAUUAGUUGCCCAAUGAGUCGUCCUGAUGUUUUCAUAGAUUCUGGUAACACCGACUCAUGGGUGCUUGGGACAGGGCGUCUUUAAUAACAUGACUUACGUCCUUUUUUGGAAAAUUA
Non-coding RNA from Macaca mulatta (Rhesus monkey), 1469 nucleotides. Lineage: Eukaryota; Metazoa; Chordata; Mammalia; Primates; Cercopithecidae. The record is from RefSeq and is a predicted model, not a curated record.